CCGUGCUCUCACAAUGAAGUUACUAAAAAAAAAGAAGGGGGAGAAAUACACCACGUGAUGAAGAAAGACAUCCAGAGGCAAGACUGAGCAAGAAGGCUUUGUCAGGAGUCCAGAAUCCUACCUCCUCUUUGGCUCCACGGUUUGUUUCCAGUCACCGUAGGAUUCGGGGGGGAAAAAAUAAAUUGAGCGAGCAGUUCAGCACUGGGAAGGAACGGCCCUUUGCAUGACAUACCUUGGCAGAGAUGAAAGAUGAACACACCUUCCCAGCCAGGACAAAAACCUGCUUGCUUUCCUUGAAAGAAGACAGAGAGGGAGAUCAUGAAACCCAGUCUCAAAAAGCAACAUGAACCUGGGAAAGCAGAUCGUAGAGGACAUCAAGUUAGUGAACUCUUCUGCAAUCAAAAUCUAUGAAUAGAUCAAUCCACAAUGGUGUAAAAAAAUGCCCUAUCUUUAAAGUAAACAUCAUGAUCCUCAGAAUAAGGACCCUGUGAAGUAAGCAUACACGAAUGAGAAGAUCAAAUGCAGUAUUUGGUAGAUAGUUUUAACUGGUGUGCUGUUCCAUGUUCCCUUGGUGGUUAUGAAACAGAGGCACUACAUCCUGGGAUUCGGAACAAAUGCCAGGCAGAAUUCUAGCUUUGUUAAAUAACACACAUUAGUCUCUGUUUUCACCAAUUCCAUUCUAUUAUGACGUGCUAAGACAGUAAAGGAAAGAUAUCUUGACUUCUUUUACUUACAUGGGGUAUGUGAAAACAAGAAAAUGUGUUGUCUCUGGUUCUGUCAUCUAAGACUGGUGAAAUUUUCAUGCUGAGAGCCCUACAGUUUCAAGCAUGCUC
This is a long non-coding RNA of Harpia harpyja (harpy eagle), 833 nucleotides long. RefSeq lists it as uncharacterized. The record is from RefSeq and is a predicted model, not a curated record. The transcript has 3 exons. NCBI's taxonomy places the organism in Eukaryota, Metazoa, Chordata, Aves, Accipitriformes, Accipitridae.